Long non-coding RNA from Coffea eugenioides, 211 nucleotides. RefSeq lists it as uncharacterized. NCBI's taxonomy places the organism in Eukaryota, Viridiplantae, Streptophyta, Magnoliopsida, Gentianales, Rubiaceae. The record is from RefSeq and is a predicted model, not a curated record. The transcript is spliced from 2 exons.
CAGGCUUCAAAAGGACCGAAUCUCUGUCUUAAACAUCAACUAAGAGUUGGAUUGGAAGAUUUUGGUAAAGCCGACUAGAUUAUACUUUUGAUUGGAAUCGGGGCUGUAAAUGUGUAGUCGACUUUUAAUGGUUGCAUUUUGGAACUUGAUGUAUCUUUUGUGAACAUGAUGUAAGAUUUAAAUAUUUAGUUAAGGAAGCGACUUUUCUUUA